UGUCAUUGCCACAGUAAAUAGAUGAAACCCACUAGCAUGAGUAGGAGUUGUUUGAGCCCUGAUGUGCCUACUCAUUCAUGCUUGUUUGUCAUGCCUGCUAUUGCUUAGAGUUGAGUCAGGUCUGAUUCAUCGGGAAUGAAUCGGAGGUGUGUAAACAUGUCCUACUGUUGAGAGCUAAGUGUGUGAACACGAUUUGGUAAAGGUAGCGGUGAGAGGCCAUGUAGGAGUACAUUGUGGGUUGUCUCAUUGCAGCCGUCCUCAGGAACUGAGUUCUGUGUUUGUGAUCCAUGAACAGCUACUACCACACAUUGGGAUCCUUAAUUGACUCUCUCGACUUAUUAAUCAACCUGAUCUCUGUCCAGGAGUUGCAACUAGUUUCUGGUGUUUGUAGGUAGUGUUAGUAGUCUACCAAGUGGCACCCGGUACAGGUGGGCUUGGGACAGACUAGGCACCAUGGCACGGUGUACCAAGCAUAGAUCCACCCGUCGAGGUGGGCUUGGGAACCCUGCACACAUCGUUUGGGGCCGUGAGCGACACCCCGGCCGGAUCUCCUUGCGGAUGGAACCCGAAUAGGCGAUAAACCUGGACUAGAGACUUGUGUGGUUAGUUAGGUCGUGGCCGACUCCCUCGCCAGGCUUCCGCUUGAAGGUUGCCGAGAUACAUGAUGUGUACAUGGCGGUAAGUGGCGAGAGCGUGUGUGAAGAAGUACACCCCUGCAGGGUUAAUAUGAUCUAUUCGAAUAGCCGUGUCCGCGGUAAAGGACUUCUGGGUUGCCUGUACAGUUCAUAGACAAGUGAAAGUGGAUACUCUAAAAUGCUCAAGAUAAGCGUGAGUGCUAUGGAUGGCGCUCUCGUAGGGAGACGGGAGCGGAUCCAUAGUGGUGUAUUGAUAUGGUGAAUAUGUGGACUCGUGUGCGCCACCUCAAAAGAGUUACUUGCAGUCGUAGUUCAGGAUAGCCACCGAGUCAAAGCUGGCUUGCUGCAGUUAAACCCCACCAUCCCCUUUGUUGAUAAUGAUGCAUAUGUAGUUAGUUCUGAUGUAAGUCUUGCUGGGUAUAUUUGUACUCACGUUUGCCUAUUUUACGUUUUUGCAGAGAUUUCCUUCUCACUAGUAGUUCCGCGUGGACUUCGACGUUUAGCUUGUUACCUCAGCUACGAUCUUGUGCCCUCGGCAGGAUCUGGUAGAUAGUCAGGCUUCUCAGCCUUUUUCAUUUGUUGAUGUCUGUACCCAGACAUGUUAAGCUUCCGCUUGUGCUUUGACUUGUAUGCUCUGAGUGUUGGGUCAUGAGACCCAUGUUUGUAAUAUCUCGCUCCUCGGAGCCUAUUGAAUAAAAUACUUGAGUUGUAGAGUCAUGUUGUGAUGCCAUGUUGUAUUUGCACAUAUCGAGCAUAUUGUGUGUAUGUUAUUGAAAUGCUUGGUAUGUGUGGGAUCUGACUAUCUAGUUGUUUAUCCUUAGUAGUCUCUCUUAUCGGGAAAUGUCUCCUAGUGCUUCCACUGAGCCAUGGCAGCUUGCUACUGCUCCGGAACACUUAGGCUGGCCGGCAUGUGUCCUUCUUCGUUCCUGUGUCUGUCCCUUCGGGGAAAUGUCACGCGAUGAAUACCGGAGUCCUGUUAGCCCGCUACAGCCCGAUUCACUGGAGUCCUGCUAGCCCAGUGCUACAGCCUGGAUUCACUCGCUGAUGACCGACACGUUCGAUGCUGGGUCAUGGAUGCCUGUCCCUGUAAGUUUGUGCCACUUUGGGUUUACGACUAGCCAUGUCAGCCCGGGCUCCUUAUCAUAUGGAUGCUAGCGACACUAUCAUAUACGUGUGCCAAAAGGCGCAAAUGGUCCCGGGCAAAGGUAAGGCGACACCCGUGGGGAUACCGUGCGUGAGGCCGCAAAGCGAUAUGAGGUGUUACAUGCUAGAUCGAUGUGGCAUUGAGUCGGGGUCCUGACAGCUUUGGUAUCAGAGCUUGACUUCCUGUAGGAUUACCAAGCCAAACUGGUCAAAGUUGAGUCUAGAAAUUCUUUAGUUAUAUGUAGGGGAAUUGAUUGUGGGAUGGAACGUAAGGCUCUUUUUACUCCUUAUACCUCAUGCCCUCUAAUCCGAGUCAUCUUAUCUUUCCUACGGGGUUAAGGAACUAGGCUAUCUCUUCUUUCUAUUAGGAUCACUUGUUUCUAAUCCGUAGACUUAUAGAAUUGUUGGAUUCAAGCCUCAGUUCAGUUCCUAUUAUUUCCCUGUAUUCAUAGUUGAUCUCAGAACCUUGAUAUUAUGAUAAUCGAGUGGUUAUGCCACCAUUUUACAGGAUGUCUUAAAUCUUUUCGAGCAUUUACAGCCGUUAUGCUGUCUGAGUCAUCCCAGGUUUCUAAAUAGUCUGAUGCAUUUGCAAAUCCCUUCUUUUCAUUCCGAUGUCUUUUAGGCCAGGUUAACCACACUAAAUUGCUGAGUUGAGGUACUAUGUUGCCUCGACAUAUAUGUUGGAGCUAGUAUUAUGACCCUAGGUGUCUUAGAGGAUCACCAGGUAGUCUAGCCAUGUUUUGUGUUCCCAGCGUGAUGAUUCUGGCCAUCAUUCUCAAAAGCAUCUCGUGAUGCCACUUAGUUAGUAGGCAUUCUAUUCCGGGCUUCUUGACCCAAGAUUCACUCAACUUACCUCGUGUUGAUAGUGUUGCUCGUACCUUUAGGAUAUUAGUAACCUUUGCGAUAGUCCUCGAGGUCCGUGGUAUUUCCUUCUUCCAAAUACCAUGAACCAUUAAGGCAGAAGUUCUUUGAACCAAAAGCUCACAAUCAGAGUACUCUUGAGGGGUUCUCCAUUCAUAAUUGUGACUCUGUCAGUUCUACCUUUCUGCAUGGGUUAUCCGGAAGAAAUAUGUUGAACUCGUUCGACAUGCUAGUCUAUGCAUCCACAACUCAGAAAAUCGUAUGUUCCUUUGAGUUGUCCCUCUUUAGUUGUUUUCUGGCCCUCGUCUAUCAAUUUAUAGUAAGGAGUAGUUGGCAAUCAUGUUCAUCGAUACUUAUUAUUCUUGUGGUCCGUCAAGCCAUUCUAUUUCAGAAUGACUAGGAGAAACAAACUCUAGAACCUCAUCCAUAUCCAGGAUUGGGUCAAAGUAGUUGUAAUCCGCAAAUCAAAAUGCCAAUCCAGCUUUUGAUUCGUUCUACCUUGGAGUAUUACCAUCUUUAUAUCAAGAAUGUCAUAGGAAUUACACAUCAUCUUAUGAAUUCUUGGUGCAGUGAUACUUCUCGCCAUCAUUAUUCAUUCCUCGGUCCCCGUGUUGUUGAACCGGAAUGCCGACAAGUGAACUAUGAUGUGUGAAAUCAAUACUCCUCGCAACUUUGUUGCUUGGUAGUUAAAGGACAAUAAUUUCAUUCUUAGCGUGUUGGUUUUUGAAUCAUCAUUCUAAGAUUGAUUGUUCUACCUAGUCUUUAUUUUUUUGGUGCACUUCUCGAUCAAUGAGUUAGGAUUGUAUCAAUCCCUUGCUUAUUUGAUCAUCUCGUCUUGCCCUGAAAAGCAAGAUUGUUCUCGAGCUUAGUAGCAUAUCGGUGGUUCGUGACUCUCCGAAUGUCUUCUCGGAGGUAUCACCAGGUUGUUCCCUGACCGCUAUGUUGAACUCGUGAUCAAGUUGGUUUCUUGUAACCACCCCUUCUCCAACAAUCAGUGUCGGAUACCCCUGAGUUAGUUGGUUAAGCUGGACAACAACUUGGAGAGUUGGAAGAUAAAAGCUUGUCCUACUUAGUUCAUUUUAAGGGAUAUCUUGUAUGUGUGUUGAAGAUGAUAUGUUCAUUGAUUGGUCCCUGUGAUCAGUUGUUGGACCUAUUGUCUCAUCAAAACUUUGAUUUGAGUGUGGGCUAUCGGUAAAUCAAAUCAGAACCAACGAUAUUCGUAAUGUUGUCUUACUCGUGGUUGAUUCCUUGAGCAUACACCAUUACAUCCUUUGGUCUGACCAAUGCUAUCACCGUGUUCACACAGUUGUGGAACUCCAACUAUAUGGAAACCUGGAUGAAUUGUUGUUGAGCCCAUCAGCAACAUUGUUAUCUUCUUCGUGAUCUGUGUUGAACAUCCAGCUAGUAUUGGAAACUUUUAUAAGCGUUAUCUUCAUGACCCGUUCGUGAUGCAUAUGUUUGGAUGAAAGAAGUGAGUCCCUCUAAUUCAUGUGCAUUUGAUGCAAGUUGCCGCCAUGAGUUUGAGAAGGCUUGUUUUACCUCCUUUGGAAUCAUCCCAAGUCAGUCAUGCACGUGCAAAGUAUUCUAUGGUCUGUUAGACUGAUCAUCUUCGUUCCAUAUGAACUCCGUAGCACACUAAGCCACUGAUUGAUUUGUUCAAGGAAAAGAAGUCUAGCACGCGUAAAGACUUCGAAAUCCUUGAUGAUGGUUCCCCACCUGAACUCGGUAGUGUUUUAUUAUAAGACUACUAUGUGGUCAUGCUUGUCUGAGACGGCGUGUUCACAUGUGUGUAGCAGAACCAACUCAUGUUUUGGAGCUUGCUAUCGUAGUUCUUUUCCUGAGAAUCUCGCAACGUCAUCUCAUCGAUUUGUGUUGCAAACUUUCAUUUUUUCUAGACUUGAUGAGUCUGGAAUGUCCUGACCCCAACCAGAUCUGAAUCUCAGGCAGAUAUGAUGGUUGGAACAAUUCCCAAGAACUACUAUAUUGGUCUCUCUGUAACCCGGUAAAGUGGAUGUCGUGGCCAACACAUCCAGCCAGAAGACCUAUUGUUGUAGUAUCUUGAUUGAGGAAGUUGGCCACCUCCCCAUAAGGACUUCGUAGGGUUUACUCCCUAGUUGUGCCUUAUGAUUUUUGUGUUCCCGAAGUCCGACCUUUUACUUGAUGUUGUAGAUAUCAAACCAUAUCUAUGAAUGGGAUACACUAGCACAUCAAGGAGAACAUUAGAAGCGGAGUGCUAAAUGUCUCUCGGUCGGUCAUCCAGAUUUUGUUUCCUUGGCCUCGCUAAGGUGAAAUCUAAGAAAGUGUUAUCUUUCUUUGCAUCUGCAUCGUCCAUCGCUGUUCAUCAUGGUAGUACGUUGUGUUGCCAGGAUCCUUGACACGGAUAUUGGUAAAACCUUGAUGAAUAUGGAAAUGCUCAAGUUCUUGAGAGCACGCGCAAGCUCUAGGUGUUAUCAUCGGCACUAACUAGGAUUGCUCUUAGUUUCCUCGGUUAUGCUAUAGCUUUUCAAACAGUGGACUCACUCUCUACUUUCGAGCUUCUCCCCAGUUACUAAAAUCAUCCCUUGUGUUGUUUUCAACAAGGUAAUCCACAUCAUCCAUUCUAAUCUGGGUAUGCCAUUCUACCGAACCCCUCCAAAUGGUCGCUCAAGAAUUGCCUUAGCCUGGUAUGGAGAGUUUCAAUGGUCCUUUCCGAUAGAGUUUCCUUCUGACUUCAUCGAGUUGGAUGAAGAUCUCGAAAGUAAAGACGUCAAGAUCAAUAUGAAGCAAUGAAUCAACAUCUUCGAGAAGGGCAAUUGGAUCAUGAAGAUCGUGUUAGCUUUGUGUCCCCUCUGUCUACUUACCUUACGUCUUGAAUCUCGGGAUGAGAUUCUUGUUUAGUAGGGGUGAGCUGUCACAUCCCUAGUUCUGGUCUGCACUAGGCUAGCCCUUCCAUGUGAGCAUCAUGUUUAAAUUCAAAUGAAACUUGAAUUGAGGAAUUUUCAAAAGCCUCAGAAAACCUCUAAAAAUAACCAACAUUUAAAAACUCAUCAAAUGAGUCCAAGAAAAUGUUCCUGUUAUUCUGUGAAAAUAUUGGCGUGAGGUAAAAUUCAAACCAAUAUUUUCAGAGUCACAGAAAUAAUUUAUUUUGGGUCUUUGAUUUAAAUCAAUAAUAUAUUUGGGUUGGAAUUAUUUCUGCUAUAUAAGAAAUAAUGUUCAAAUAUUUUGUAAGUUUGCAUGUGACCUUGGACUAGCUCUCUGAGCUCACAUAAAAAUUUACAGAAAGUUUUAAAAUGGUUUAGUUUCCAAACUAAACCAAAACAAAAUAACAGAAAUAGAAAAAACUAAAAUAAAAGAGAGAGAGAGAGACUUACCUGGAACUUACCUGGGAUCCACCAAAGCCCACCUGGCCGGCCCGGUUGGCCAGCCCAGCCCACCUCCUCGCGCGUCGUCUUCCCCAUGCCUUCUGGCAUCGUGCGUGGCGCGCGCACAGCCGAGCCGCGGCCACCUCCUGCUUCCACCUCCUCCUGCCUCCCUGCUCGCUUCCUCGACCCCAGGGAGAUGCCACGCGGCCCCCUCGACGCUCUCUCACUCUCCCCAUGCUCAUCCCCUCCUCUGUCCCCCUUCCCCUCUCUUCCCCGAGCGCCGCCAUCGCCGCCGCUUGCCAUAGCCGUGCCCGCCGAGCUCCCCUCACCUCGCUGACCCGCCCAGGAGAACCGCAGGGUCGUCUUCAUCAUCUACGCAGAGCCACGCGACGCCUGCCGCCCUGCAUCGCCGGCUACCUCGCCUUCUUCCCCCUCGGACGCCAAGAUCGCCACGGCCGCGCCGUCUCCUCCGAGCCUUCCCCGAGCCUGCUUUAACGCCCCCUGCACUCCCCGUGAGCUUAUCUUCCUCCUCCCCCCUUCCCGUUCUCGCUCUCAAGCACCGCCGCGACCUCACCGAGCUCGACCGCGCCCGCCGCCGCCACCGCACGUCGCCGUCAUGGCCAGAGCCAUAGUGGCUCGAAGCCGGGCACACCACCGUGCUCCACACCUCACUAGGAGCACGUAACACACACCAAAGCCUCCCCUAGCGCCCUGCAUCGCCUAGCCCGCCGUUGGCCGAACUCUGGUCGCCGCCGUCGUCGUGGUUGCCAUCGCCUCCGGCCACCCCAGCUCUUCCCACUUGCCCUGCUAGAUGUGCGCGAGCCCCAGCUAUGCAUAGGACCAAACCCCGGUCGAUUUGGUCGACCGUGGGCAAAACCCGAGCCAACCCAGUGUGCCUCCGCCGCGUUUCGGUCGCCGCCGGCGUAACUCCGGCGAUGGUGACGUGGCCGCUUAGUUUAGGUUAACGACGCACUUAGUCAACACUUAGUUACACUGACAGCCGGGCCCCACUGCCUAAUUAAACUUAUAUUAGUUUCUGCUUAGUAUUAACUAAUCACAACGGCCCCACGCGUCAGUGUUGACCAAGCUGACGUGGCCGUUGACUGGGUCCACAUGUCAGCGACACUAAUCAGCCCCAGUCACUGACCAGUGGACCCCACUGGUCAGGUUUGACCUGAACCCGCCCUGUUGACCUGAUGACGUUAGGGUGAUGUCAUGCUGACGCAAUAAAUGAUUUUCUGGAUUUAAAAUAAAUCAGAAAAUCCAGAAAAUACCACAAACUUCUAAAAAUGAUAGAAAUUCAACCGUAACUCCAAAUGAAAUAAAUUAUAUAUGAAAAAUGAUCAGAAAAAUCCAAUCUAUCCAUCUGUACCAUUUUCAUGCAUGUUAGAACAACUUAUGGCUACUGUUUAGGCCAAAUCAUAUAAAUGACAUUUAAACCCUCACAUAUGGGGUUUGAAUUUGAACCUAGGGUUCAAACCAACUCCAUUUAACAUGUUGCUAGUUGCAUUAGCUCAAAACACAUUCAUAUUGCCAUGUCAUAGCAUGCAUCAUAUUGUGCAUUGCAUUGAUUGUGUUCUUCCUUGUUUGCCGGUGUUUGUCCCCUCUUGAUAGACGUGGUUCCGACGAUGAGUUCGAUGACACCAAUGAAGAAUUAUAUUAUCUUCAGAAGUGCCAGGCAACCAAAACCCCCUUGCUCAUUCCGAUACAAUCCUACUCUCUCGCUCCUGCUCUCUUUUACUGCUUUAGGACAACAACGAUUCAUCUGUUACUUGCUGCGGUAGCUGAACCCCUUUAUCCUCUGCAUGACCUGUCAUUGCCACAUUAUAUAGAUGAAACCCACUAGCAUGAGUAGGAGUUGUUUGAGCCCUGAUGUGCCUACUCAUUCAUGCUUGUUUGUCAUGCCUGCUAUUGCUUAGAGUUGAGUCAGGUCUGAUUCAUCGGGAAUGAAUCGGAGGUGUGUAAACAUGUCCUACUGUUGAGAGCUAAGUGUGUGAACACGAUUUGGUAAAGGUAGCGGUGAGAGGCCAUGUAGGAGUACAUGGUGGGUUGUCUCAUUGCAGCCGUCCUGAGGAACUGAGUUCUGUGUUUGUGAUCCAUGAACAGCUACUACCACACAUUGGGAUCCUUAAUUGACU
RNAcentral lists this long non-coding RNA (8118 nucleotides) under Triticum aestivum (bread wheat). RNAcentral describes it as "long non-coding RNA (TAES_LNC016581)". The record is from RNAcentral. Lineage: Eukaryota; Viridiplantae; Streptophyta; Magnoliopsida; Poales; Poaceae.